UUGGAGGGCAAGUCUGGUGCCAGCAGCCGCGGUAAUUCCAGCUCCAAUAGCGUAUAUUAAAGUUGUUGCAGUUAAAAAGCUCGUAGUUGAAUUUCGGGGUUCCACCGUUGGUCGGGCUUUGUCUGUACUGGUGUGUAGAAUUUCUACCUUCUGGGGAACCAUCAUGCUAUUAAUUUAGCGUGGUGGGAAACCAGGACCUUUACCUUGAAAAAAUUAGUGUGUUCAAAGCAGGCUUAUGUCUGAAUACAUUAGCGUGGAAUAAUAGAAUAGGACGGUGGUCCUGUUUUGUUGGUUUCUGAAUCACCGUAAUGAUUAAUAGGGAUAGUUGGGGGCAUUAGUAUUCAAUUGUCAGAGGUGAAAUUCUUGGAUUUAUUGAAGACUAACUUCUGCGAAAGCAUUUGCCAAGGAUGUUUUCAUUAAUCAAGAACGAAAGUUAGGGGAUCGAAGACGAUCAGAUACCGUCGUAGUCUUAACCAUAAACUAUGCCGACUAGGGAUCGGACGAUGUUAAUUUUUCUUGACUCGUUCGGCGCCUUACGGGAAAC
RNAcentral lists this ribosomal RNA (544 nucleotides) under uncultured Glomeromycotina. Its description in RNAcentral is "SSU rRNA". It matches the Rfam family "Eukaryotic small subunit ribosomal RNA", at positions 548 to 1098 of the family's 1831-position model. Lineage: Eukaryota; Fungi; Glomeromycota. The record is from RNAcentral.